GCCCUACGGGGCGCAGCAGUGGGGAAUAUUGCACAAUGGGGGAAACCCUGAUGCAGCAACGCCGCGUGAGUGAAGAAGUCAUUCGUGAUGUAAAGCUCUAUCAGCAGGGAAGAAAAUGACGGUACCUGAGUAAGAAGCCCCGGCUAACUACGUGCCAGCAGCCGCGGUAAUACGUAGGGGGCAAGCGUUAUCCGGAUUUACUGGGUGUAAAGGGAGCGUAGACGGCCAGACAAGUCUGAAGUGAAAAUCCA
This 251-nucleotide ribosomal RNA is filed under the name uncultured bacterium. RNAcentral describes it as "partial 16S ribosomal RNA". It matches the Rfam family "Bacterial small subunit ribosomal RNA", at positions 335 to 604 of the family's 1533-position model. The record is from RNAcentral.